This 431-nucleotide ribosomal RNA is filed under the name uncultured bacterium. RNAcentral's name for it is "bacterial SSU rRNA". It matches the Rfam family "Bacterial small subunit ribosomal RNA", at positions 355 to 796 of the family's 1533-position model. The record is from RNAcentral.
UCGAGGAUCUUUGGCAAUGAGCGCAAGCUUGACCAAGCGACGCCGCGUGUGCGAUGAAGGCCUUCGGGUUGUAAAGCACUGUCGAGGGGAACGAAGCCGAAAGGUUGACCGAUCCCUGGAGGAAGCACGGGCUAAGUUCGUGCCAGCAGCCGCGGUAAGACGAACCGUGCGAACGUUGUUCGGAAUCACUGGGCUUAAAGGGCGCGUAGGCGGCUUGUCAAGUCAGGGGUGAAAUCCUCCAGCUCAACUGGAGAAGUGCCUUUGAUACUGACAAGCUCGAGGGAGGUAGGGGUAUGUGGAACUUCUGGUGGAGCGGUGAAAUGCGUUGAUAUCAGAAGGAACGCCGGUGGCGAAAGCGACGUACUGGACCUCUUCUGACGCUGAGGCGCGAAAGCUAGGGGAGCAAACGGGAUUAGAUACCCCUGUAGUCC